CGAACGACUCUCGGCAACGGAUAUCUCGGCUCUCGCAUCGAUGAAGAACGUAGCGAAAUGCGAUACUUGGUGUGAAUUGCAGAAUCCCGUGAACCAUCGAGUCUUUGAACGCAAGUUGCGCCCGAUGCCUUUAGGUUGAGGGCACGUCUGCUUGGGCGUCAUGC
RNAcentral lists this ribosomal RNA (164 nucleotides) under Primulina hunanensis. Its description in RNAcentral is "5.8S ribosomal RNA". It matches the Rfam family "5.8S ribosomal RNA". Rfam says of the family: 5.8S ribosomal RNA (5.8S rRNA) is a component of the large subunit of the eukaryotic ribosome. It is transcribed by RNA polymerase I as part of the 45S precursor that also contains 18S and 28S rRNA. Functionally, it is thought that 5.8S rRNA may be involved in ribosome translocation. Lineage: Eukaryota; Viridiplantae; Streptophyta; Magnoliopsida; Lamiales; Gesneriaceae. The record is from RNAcentral.